Molecule: ribosomal RNA, 440 nt
Filed under: uncultured bacterium
Lineage: Bacteria
Description: partial 16S ribosomal RNA
Rfam family: Bacterial small subunit ribosomal RNA
Source: RNAcentral
CCUACGGGAGGCAGCAGUGGGGAAUAUUGCACAAUGGGGGGAACCCUGAUGCAGCGACGCCGCGUGAGUGAAGAAGUAUUUCGGUAUGUAAAGCUCUAUCAGCAGGGAAGAAAAUGACGGUACCUGACUCAGCAGCCCCGGCUAACUACGUGCCAGCAGCCGCGGUACUACGUAGGGGGCCAGCGUUAUACGGAUUUACUGGGUGUAAAGGGAGCGCAGACGGCUUUGCAAGUCUGGCGUGAAAGGCGGGGGCCCAACCCCCGGACUGCUCUGGAAACUGUAAAGCUGGAGUGCAGUAGAGGUAAGCGGAAGUCCUGGUGUAGCGGUGAAAUGCGUAGAUAUUAGGAGGAACACCAGGUGCGAAGGCGGCUUACUGGACUGCAACUGACGUUGAGGCUCGAAAGCGUGGGGAGCAAACAGGAUUAGAUACCCGAGUAGUC